GAGGAAUAUUGGUCAAUGGGCGAGAGCCUGAACCAGCCAAGUCGCGUGAAGGAUGACUGCCCUAUGGGUUGUAAACUUCUUUUGUAAGGGAAUAAAAAAAGGUACGUGUACUUUAUUGUAUGUACUUUACGAAUAAGGAUCGGCUAACUCCGUGCCAGCAGCCGCGGUAAUACGGAGGGUGCAAGCGUUAUCCGGAUUUAUUGGGUUUAAAGGGUGCGUAGGCGGUUUGAUAAGUCAGCGGUGAAAUAUUUCAGCUUAACUGGAAGGGUGCCGUUGAUUCUGUCGAGCUUGAAUUUAGUUGCUGUGGGUGGAAUGUGUGGUGUAGCGGUGAAAUGCAUAGAUAUCACACAGAAUAUCGAUUGCGAAGGCAGCUCACAAAGCUAAUAUUGACGCUGAUGCACGAAAGUGUGGGGAUCAAAC
Molecule: ribosomal RNA, 420 nt
Filed under: uncultured bacterium
Lineage: Bacteria
Description: bacterial SSU rRNA
Rfam family: Bacterial small subunit ribosomal RNA
Source: RNAcentral